GAUGAACGCUAGCUACAGGCUUAACACAUGCAAGUCGAGGGGAAACGAUAGAGAAAGCUUGCUUUUUCUAGGCGUCGACCGGCGCACGGGUGAGUAACGCGUAUCCAACCUGCCCACCACUUGGGGAUAACCUUGCGAAAGUAAGACUAAUACCCAAUGACGUCUCUAGAAGACAUCUGAAAGAGAUUAAAGAUUUAUCGGUGAUGGAUGGGGAUGCGUCUGAUUAGCUUGUUGGCGGGUAACGGCCCACCAAGGCGACGAUCAGUAGGGGUUCUGAGAGGAAGGUCCCCCACAUUGGAACUGAGACACGGUCCAAACUCCUACGGGAGGCAGCAGUGAGGAAUAUUGGUCAAUGGACGAGAGUCUGAACCAGCCAAGUAGCGUGCAGGAUGACGGCCCUAUGGGUUGUAAACUGCUUUUAUAAGGGAAUAAAGUGAGUCUCGUGAGACUUUUUGCAUGUACCUUAUGAAUAAGGACCGGCUAAUUCCGUG
This 491-nucleotide ribosomal RNA is filed under the name uncultured bacterium. RNAcentral's name for it is "bacterial SSU rRNA". It matches the Rfam family "Bacterial small subunit ribosomal RNA", at positions 28 to 507 of the family's 1533-position model. The record is from RNAcentral.